CUCUGGUAUUGAUUGGUGCUUGCAUCAUGAUUUACAUUUGAGUGAGUGGCGAACUGGUGAGUAACACGUGGGAAACCUGCCCAGAAGCGGGGGAUAACACCUGGAAACAGAUGCUAAUACCGCAUAACAACUUGGACCGCAGGGUCCGAGUUUGAAAGAUGGCUUCGGCUAUCACUUUUGGAUGGUCCCGCGGCGUAUUAGCUAGAUGGUGGGGUAACGGCUCACCAUGGCAAUGAUACGUAGCCGACCUGAGAGGGUAAUCGGCCACAUUGGGACUGAGACACGGCCCAAACUCCUACGGGAGGCAGCAGUAGGGAAUCUUCCACAAUGGACGAAAGUCUGAUGGAGCAACGCCGCGUGAGUGAAGAAGGGUUUCGGCUCGUAAAACUCUGUUGUUAAAGAAGAACAUAUCUGAGAGUAACUGUUCAGGUAUUGACGGUAUUUAACCAGAAAGCCACGGCUAACUACGUGCCAGCAGCCGCGGUAAUACGUAGGUGGCAAGCGUUGUCCGGAUUUAUUGGGCGUAAAGCGAGCGCAGGCGGUUUUUUAAGUCUGAUGUGAAAGCCUUCGGCUCAACCGAAGAAGUGCAUCGGAAACUGGGAAACUUGAGUGCAGAAGAGGACAGUGGAACUCCAUGUGUAGCGGUGAAAUGCGUAGAUAUAUGGAAGAACACCAGUGGCGAAGGCGGCUGUCUGGUCUGUAACUGACGCUGAGGCUCGAAAGUAUGGGUAGCAAACAGGAUUAGAUACCCUGGUAGUCCAUACCGUAAACGAUGAAUGCUAAGUGUUGGAGGGUUUCCGCCCUUCAGUGCUGCAGCUAACGCAUUAAGCAUUCCGCCUGGGGAGUACGGCCGCAAGGCUGAAACUCAAAGGAAUUGACGGGGGCCCGCACAAGCGGUGGAGCAUGUGGUUUAAUUCGAAGCUACGCGAAGAACCUUACCAGGUCUUGACAUACUAUGCAAAUCUAAGAGAUUAGACGUUCCCUUCGGGGACAUGGAUACAGGUGGUGCAUGGUUGUCGUCAGCUCGUGUCGUGAGAUGUUGGGUUAAGUCCCGCAACGAGCGCAACCCUUAUUAUCAGUUGCCAGCAUUAAGUUGGGCACUCUGGUGAGACUGCCGGUGACAAACCGGAGGAAGGUGGGGAUGACGUCAAAUCAUCAUGCCCCUUAUGACCUGGGCUACACACGUGCUACAAUGGAUGGUACAACGAGUUGCGAACUCGCGAGAGUAAGCUAAUCUCUUAAAGCCAUUCUCAGUUCGGAUUGUAGGCUGCAACUCGCCUACAUGAAGUCGGAAUCGCUAGUAAUCGCGGAUCAGCAUGCCGCGGUGAAUACGUUCCCGGGCCUUGUACACACCGCCCGUCACACCAUGAGAGUUUGUAACACCCAAAGUCGGUGG
RNAcentral lists this ribosomal RNA (1396 nucleotides) under Lactiplantibacillus plantarum. RNAcentral's name for it is "bacterial SSU rRNA". It matches the Rfam family "Bacterial small subunit ribosomal RNA", at positions 70 to 1433 of the family's 1533-position model. The record is from RNAcentral. Lineage: Bacteria; Bacillati; Bacillota; Bacilli; Lactobacillales; Lactobacillaceae.